This 1517-nucleotide ribosomal RNA is filed under the name Bacteroides stercoris ATCC 43183. RNAcentral's name for it is "16S ribosomal RNA". It matches the Rfam family "Bacterial small subunit ribosomal RNA". The record is from RNAcentral. Lineage: Bacteria; Pseudomonadati; Bacteroidota; Bacteroidia; Bacteroidales; Bacteroidaceae.
GUUUGAUCCUGGCUCAGGAUGAACGCUAGCUACAGGCUUAACACAUGCAAGUCGAGGGGCAGCAUCAUCAAAGCUUGCUUUGAUGGAGGGCGACCGGCGCACGGGUGAGUAACACGUAUCCAACCUGCCGACAACACUGGGAUAGCCUUUCGAAAGAAAGAUUAAUACCGGAUGGCAUAGUUUUCCCGCAUGGGUUGACUAUUAAAGAAUUUCGGUUGUCGAUGGGGAUGCGUUCCAUUAGGCAGUUGGCGGGGUAACGGCCCACCAAACCUACGAUGGAUAGGGGUUCUGAGAGGAAGGUCCCCCACAUUGGAACUGAGACACGGUCCAAACUCCUACGGGAGGCAGCAGUGAGGAAUAUUGGUCAAUGGACGAGAGUCUGAACCAGCCAAGUAGCGUGAAGGAUGACUGCCCGAAUUUAAAAACUUCUUUUAUACGGGAAUAAAGUGAGCCACGUGUGGCUUUUUGUAUGUACCGUAUGAAUAAGGAUCGGCUAACUCCGUGCCAGCAGCCGCGGUAAUACGGAGGAUUCGAGCGUUAUCCGGAUUUAUUGGGUUUAAAGGGAGCGUAGGCGGGUUGUUAAGUCAGUUGUGAAAGUUUGCGGCUCAACCGUAAAAUUGCAGUUGAUACUGGCGACCUUGAGUGCAACAGAGGUAGGCGGAAUUCGUGGUGUAGCGGUGAAAUGCUUAGAUAUCACGAAGAACUCCGAUUGCGAAGGCAGCUUACUGGAUUGUAACUGACGCUGAUGCUCGAAAGUGUGGGUAUCAAACAGGAUUAGAUACCCUGGUAGUCCACACAGUAAACGAUGAAUACUCGCUGUUGGCGAUAUACAGUCAGCGGCCAAGUGAAAGCAUUAAGUAUUCCACCUGGGGAGUACGCCGGCAACGGUGAAACUCAAAGGAAUUGACGGGGGCCCGCACAAGCGGAGGAACAUGUGGUUUAAUUCGAUGAUACGCGAGGAACCUUACCCGGGCUUAAAUUGCAACUGACGGAACCGGAAACGGUUCUUUCUUCGGACAGUUGUGAAGGUGCUGCAUGGUUGUCGUCAGCUCGUGCCGUGAGGUGUCGGCUUAAGUGCCAUAACGAGCGCAACCCUUACGGGUAGUUACCAUCAGGUUAUGCUGGGGACUCUACCCGGACUGCCGUCGUAAGAUGUGAGGAAGGUGGGGAUGACGUCAAAUCAGCACGGCCCUUACGUCCGGGGCUACACACGUGUUACAAUGGGGGGUACAGAAGGCAGCUACACGGCGACGUGGUGCUAAUCCCGAAAGCCUCUCUCAGUUCGGAUUGGAGUCUGCAACCCGACUCCAUGAAGCUGGAUUCGCUAGUAAUCGCGCAUCAGCCACGGCGCGGUGAAUACGUUCCCGGGCCUUGUACACACCGCCCGUCAAGCCAUGAAAGCCGGGGGUACCUGAAGUACGUAACCGCGAGGAGCGUCCUAGGGUAAAACUGGUGAUUGGGGCUAAGUCGUAACAAGGUAGCCGUACCGGAAGGUGCGGCUGGAACACCUCCUUUCU